UGCAGACGCAGAGCGUGUGCAGAUGGCGGAGGAGGCGAAGAAGGAGCAUAAGAAGAUGCUCGACAAGCUCUCCCACCAAGCGGACGAUAUGAAGGGAUCGUACAUGAAGUUAAUGACAGAGGUGCAUUCGUCUUCAUCUCAUGGUUACCAAAGUGUUGCAGUUCAUAGUAAAUGCAGUUCUAGUGGAAGUCAUAAUAUAUCAAGGACGGAUAAAAGAUCAUCUACUUUCAUAAGGUCCAUGAUCUAGCCGAACCACUAAUGGAUGUGGCGUCUACGAAGCACUACACCUAGCUUGCUUGCUGGCGCGCGCGUGCGUGCUUCGAUGCACAACGCUUCAUCGAGCUGGCUGGACCACGGCAAUCUCCAGAGCAGGAGCCGGAGGAGGCGACGAGAUGCUACUACUGCAGCUGCAUCCUCGGAGGCAGCAGCUGCCCCUCGCCGACCUCACCAACCUCCGGCGUCCGCCAUGAGCUCAGCGCAGGACCCCUUCUACAUCGUCCAGGAGGAGAUCCAGGGAUGGAUCGGUAAGCUGCAGACUACGUUCCAUCGUUGGGAGCAAGUUUCUUCAAACAACGGAGAAUAUGUCCAUCUGACAAUAUCAUCGCUGGCAGCAAGUUUCUUCAAACCUGAUUACUUUGUCAUCAGGUAGGCUGAUUGCAUCCAACUCAAAGAGUUCCACAUUUCUAACUUGAGGGUUCCACUUGCACAUGAUGGCCCCACAACUCCUUAUGGAAAGAAGCUUCCUGCAGCUGACAACAAGAUGCUGGCCUUCAUUCUUCAAUAGUUGGGUGCAUAGGAGCUUUAUGAAGAAGAAUCCCGAAGGAAAACCACACCCAACAAUGCGUUUUAGCUCACUGCAGCUAGUUAUGUGUUGUAUAUUUAGUUGUAUUCUAUAGCUGAAUACCAGAUCUGUACUAUGUAUCAUUGUAAUGUACUUUGCUUAGCUGUUGUAUGAAAUAUCAUGCCUUAUUG
Triticum dicoccoides is the source of this 972-nucleotide long non-coding RNA. RefSeq lists it as uncharacterized. The transcript is spliced from 6 exons. NCBI's taxonomy places the organism in Eukaryota, Viridiplantae, Streptophyta, Magnoliopsida, Poales, Poaceae. The record is from RefSeq and is a predicted model, not a curated record.